AUUGAACGCUGGCGGCAGGCCUAACACAUGCAAGUCGAACGAGUGGCGGACGGGAGAGUAAUGUCUGGGAAACUGCCUGAUGGAGGGGGAUAACUACUGGAAACGGUAGCUAAUACCGCAUACCAUCGGAUGUGCCCAGAUGGGAUUAGCUAGUAGGUGGGGUAAAGGCGCACAUAGGCGACGAUCCCUAGCUGGUCUGAGAGGAUGACCAGCCACACUGGAACGAGGACACGCUCCAGACUCCUACGGGAGGAAGCAGUGGGUAAUAUUGGACAAUGGGCGAAAGCCGGACGCAGCCAGGCCGGGGGUAUGAAGAAGGUCUUCGGGUUGUAAAGUACUUUCAGCGGGGAGGCGUUACCCGCAGAAGAAGCACCGGCUAACUCCGUGCCAGCAGCCGCGGUAAUUC
Molecule: ribosomal RNA, 406 nt
Filed under: uncultured bacterium
Lineage: Bacteria
Description: partial 16S ribosomal RNA
Rfam family: Bacterial small subunit ribosomal RNA
Source: RNAcentral